CGGACGGGUGAGUAAUGUCUGGGAAACUGCCUGAUGGAGGGGGAUAACUACUGGGAACGGUAGCUAAUACCGCAUAACGUCGCAAGACCAAAGAGGGGGACCUUCGGGCCUCUUGCCAUCGGAUGUGCCCAGAUGGGAUUAGCUAGUAGGUGGGGUAACGGCUCACCUAGGCGACGAUCCCUAGCUGGUCUGAGAGGAUGACCAGCCACACUGGAACUGAGACACGGUCCAG
This 232-nucleotide ribosomal RNA is filed under the name uncultured bacterium. RNAcentral describes it as "partial 16S ribosomal RNA". It matches the Rfam family "Bacterial small subunit ribosomal RNA", at positions 99 to 334 of the family's 1533-position model. The record is from RNAcentral.